RNAcentral lists this ribosomal RNA (253 nucleotides) under uncultured bacterium. RNAcentral's name for it is "partial 16S ribosomal RNA". It matches the Rfam family "Bacterial small subunit ribosomal RNA", at positions 524 to 776 of the family's 1533-position model. The record is from RNAcentral.
UACGGAGGGUGCUAGCGUUGUUCGGAAUUACUGGGCGUAAAGGGCGCGUAGGCGGCCGCUUGCGUCGGAUGUGAAAGCCCGGGGCUCAACCUCGGAACGGCAUUCGAUACGGGACGGCUGGAGACCGGGAGAGGAGAGUGGAAUAGCCAGUGUAGAGGUGAAAUUCGUAGAUAUUGGCUGGAACACCGGUGGCGAAAGCGGCUCUCUGGCCCGGUUCUGACGCUGAGGCGCGAAAGCGUGGGGAGCAAACAGG